GGCUUAGAGUUUGAUCAUGGCUCAGGACGAACGCUGGCGGCGUGCUUAACACAUGCAAGUCGAACGGGGAAUAUUCUGACAGAGACUUCGGUUGAAGUCGUUAUAUUCCUAGUGGCGGACGGGUGAGUAACGCGUGGGUAACCUGCCCCACACAGGGGGAUAACAACCAGAAAUGGCUGCUAGUACCGCAUAAGCGCACGGGGCCGCAUGGCCCAGUGUGAAAAACUCCGGUGGUGUGGGAUGGGCCCGCGUUGGAUUAGCCAGUUGGCAGGGUAACGGCCUACCAAAGCGACGAUCCAUAGCCGGCCUGAGAGGGUGGACGGCCACAUUGGGACUGAGACACGGCCCAGACUCCUACGGGAGGCAGCAGUGGGGAAUAUUGCACAAUGGGGGAAACCCUGAUGCAGCGACGCCGCGUGAAGGAAGAAGUAUCUCGGUAUGUAAACUUCUAUCAGCAGGGAAGAAAGUGACGGUACCUGACUAAGAAGCCCCGGCUAACUACGUGCCAGCAGCCGCGGUAAUACGUAGGUGGCAAGCGUUAUCCGGAAUGACUGGGCGUAAAGGGUGCGUAGGUGGUUUAGCAAGUUGGCAGCGUAAUUCCGGGGCUCAACUCCGGCGCUACUGCCAAAACUGUUGAACUUGAGUGCAGGAGGGGUAAGUG
This 661-nucleotide ribosomal RNA is filed under the name uncultured organism. RNAcentral's name for it is "bacterial SSU rRNA". It matches the Rfam family "Bacterial small subunit ribosomal RNA", at positions 1 to 663 of the family's 1533-position model. The record is from RNAcentral.